UAUGAGCUCGAUUCGCGAAGGGUGUUUGAUGAGUCUGGUUGUUGACUCGAGAUUGAUCGGAGAAGAGCAAAGGUAGACGUGGAAGUUUGUACGGCUGGAAACAAGCUUGUUGGCGAGCUCCAGGAAUGGGGAGAUGUGGCCGUGAGCUAACCACGGGAACAUUAGGAUCCUGAAUAAUUCGCCGGAGUUUGUGGCUUCUUCUUCCAUCUGUUUAGAGUUGUGGGUCGGUGUUUGUGCAUAGUCCUCCAUCAGUACUGACCUAUAUAUAGUCCUCCAAGGGCCGAUCGCCGGCCAUUGGCAUUUGGCUGUUUUGAAAGCUUAAAUAAGUUAAGCAAUGGAGUCCAUGUCAUUAACGUUUCGAGCCAGUUUCUUCUGGGCAGCUAAUAAUCCAUGGCUCAGUAUAUAGCACCAUGUAUUAUUUCCUAGUUUGCAACACCUGGGCCGAUUUUGUAUUAUUUCUGAGCUGAUUCCUUCCAUUUGACAUUUGACGUUACUCAAAGAGGGUAAGUAAGUAAAAUUGCAGCCAAUAAUCGCCGAUGUACGGGUUUUCCAAUGAAGAUUACAGUCUACAGAGCCGGAAGAAAACCUGGUUCACUGUUAUGCUGGGAAUAUUUGAGGCUUGGCUGUAUAUGGCUAGGAACUACCAUGCAACGGAAUCUAGCCUACCACAGUUGACAGGUGAGGUUUACUGUCCUUCAUUUAGUUUCGAAAAAAUUACAAUUUAACUAAUUUGGAAGCAAUGUUCUGUGUUUCAGUGUUUGAUUAAGAAAGAUGUCAUAGUUACAUGCAACCCAUUGUUCGAAAACUCAUGUGAAAGAAAAACUGGCCACUCAUUGUCAAUUUGUUGUUAUGUUAAAACUGAUUUCAGAGGUCUAGAAACUUCACAACAUCCGAGUUGUUGUUACUUUGUUCUUUGCUGUAUCUGGGUGAAGUUUAUUCUUUCCCUGGUUCUCAUGUCUUUGCUUUCCUUCUUGUCUGUUGCAUGGACCGGAAUACGUUGAGUUAAACAUGAAAUUCAAUGUUAAUCUUGUUUCAUGGACUGGAAUUUGAACAUCUUGUUAUUGCUAAUGUCUUUCUGCAGGAUUGUAUGGUGGCUUUGACUGGAUUUCACAUUGAUACUUUUGCAGGUGACAUGAUCUUGGUGUUCCAUCUACUCUCUAAACUGAAAACGUCUUACAAAGAUGAACCAGGCGAUCAAUGGCUUCAUCAAUCUCGCUAUCCCCUUUCUCCAGCAAACAAUCCCUAAUCC
This 1249-nucleotide long non-coding RNA is filed under the name Linum usitatissimum (flax). RNAcentral's name for it is "long non-coding RNA (LUSI_LNC006882)". The record is from RNAcentral. Lineage: Eukaryota; Viridiplantae; Streptophyta; Magnoliopsida; Malpighiales; Linaceae.